GAUCCUGGCUCAGGAUGAACGCUAGCUACAGGCUUAACACAUGCAAGUCGAGGGGCAGCAUUUCAGUUUGCUUGCAAACUGGAGAUGGCGACCGGCGCACGGGUGAGUAACACGUAUCCAACCUGCCGAUAACUCGGGGAUAGCCUUUCGAAAGAAAGAUUAAUACCCGAUGGUAUAAUCAGACCGCAGUGGUCUUGUUUAAUAAAGUAAGUUUCGGUUAUCGAGUGGGGAUCGUCCGUUCCUAGUUAGGCUUAGG
Molecule: ribosomal RNA, 256 nt
Filed under: uncultured bacterium
Lineage: Bacteria
Description: partial 16S ribosomal RNA
Rfam family: Bacterial small subunit ribosomal RNA
Source: RNAcentral